AUUGAACGCUGGCGGCAUGCCUUACACAUGCAAGUCGAACGGCAGCGCGGGAGCAAUCCUGGCGGCGAGUGGCGAACGGGUGAGUAAUAUAUCGGAACGUGCCCAGUAGUGGGGGAUAGCCCGGCGAAAGCCGGAUUAAUACCGCAUGAGACCUGAGGGUGAAAGCGGGGGAUCGCAAGACCUCGCGCUAUUGGAGCGGCCGAUAUCAGAUUAGCUAGUUGGUGGGGUAAAGGCCUACCAAGGCAACGAUCUGUAGUUGGUCUGAGAGGACGACCAGCCACACUGGGACUGAGACACGGCCCAGACUCCUACGGGAGGCAGCAGUGGGGAAUUUUGGACAAUGGGCGCAAGCCUGAUCCAGCAAUGCCGCGUGCAGG
Molecule: ribosomal RNA, 377 nt
Filed under: uncultured bacterium
Lineage: Bacteria
Description: bacterial SSU rRNA
Rfam family: Bacterial small subunit ribosomal RNA
Source: RNAcentral